CUCUGAGGCUCUUGCUACCUAGGGGAGAGCCUUUUUAGGAUUGUGGAGCACUGGCUCUGAUACUCAUCUUAGAGCAAGUUCCCAUCAAGCCUCCUGACAUCAUUGGGUAUGAUUGCUGACACCUGUUUGGUAAAUAAAAUUACAUCAGAUCUUUUCAGCACCAGGCUGUUAAAAGAGAGCUCUAGCGCAGAUGUAACCUCCAGUAUGAAUAGGAGAAUUCAUUAGGCAUCAAGGCCUUUAAACUCAUCAGGGUUAAACAGCAAUUUACCUCACACCAUAACUGUUAGCAAGUGAUUUAGUGACAAGGAAUUGACGAGAGGCUCGUUGAAUUGAGUAAUAGUGGGAGGCCAUCCUGGGGCAAGAGCCAUGUUCCUGCAGACACCUUCCAAAGGGACCAAGGUUAGUUCAAGAAGAAAGUUUGAAGGCCUUGUCUACUAGAUGGCACAUGUGCAUAGCUUUCUUCACUUUGCCGUCCCUCUACGAGAUUUCAUCACGCUUGCCUAGAACGUAAUCUGCAACACCCACCACGGAGCUGGUCCCAAGGCAAAGAGGCAGUGGCUCACCACGUGCCAUCCUUUCUCUUAAGAUCCCAUCUCCUUCUGCGUGGCCCCAGUUGCGGGGCCAGCAGGAUGGGUUCCCCACUGCGCCGUGUUGGUUGGACGUAAUCGCUGUAACGCCACUGAGCAACACGUGGCGAACAGCUUUAUCACCAAGGGCAGCCAGCAAGCCGGGAUGGAUGAAUGGGAAGCAGCUUCCAGCAGGAAUGCUCCUCCGUAUUUUAAAUGAGAAACAGAAGAACAUGGAGAUUUUGCAAUUUGAGCUGAGGCAGGCAGGAGCUCUGGCAGAAGAAGAGGCCUCCCGAGGGGCUUGGAGGUGAACAGCAGAUCCACCAAGGACAGUGUGCAGGAAUCAGAGUGAUGUUCUCUCUCAUGGGAAGAGGAAGCCAUACAACAACUAUACCAGGGCAGAGCCCUCCGUGGGAGACAACAGCCUGUAAACUGCUGGGACUACCAGAGAACACCACAAACACCAUAAACCACCGGAAGGAGCCCGCCAGCUGCAGAAAGGCAGCAAGAGGAUCAAAAGAGCAACAUCCCAGGCAUUCCUGAUGUCCUGAAGAUUUUCAGCAAGAUUUGUGGAGGAACAGAGCAAGAAAAGCUAGCCAGAAGACAUUGCUUCCUGUGCACAUCAGACAAGGCAGAGUCUGUGCCCUCCCUGCAUAUGCAUGAAGCCCACAUCGCCUUUCAGGACUUUGUGCAGAAGUCCAAGAAGCACAAAGCUGCAAAGAAAUGCUGCCGCCUACAUGCUGCCCCAGUUUCCCCAGGCAAAGGGUGAUGAUCUGGUGAAGCCACUGAAUCCGUGCCAGCAGGGAUUUGGAUCCAGAAGCAGGCAAGAGCAUCAGAGCAGCUGUGCUGCUCUGGAUCAAAGCCCACCAUCCGAUGGCCCGUCACUGGCAGCUGGUGGAAGCAAGUGCCCAGGGAGGAGAACAAAAAGCAGGAUCUUUCCUCAGAGCCAAAAGGCUGUAACCAGAUAACCAACACAUUUGUUCCCUGUCUCCAUGGCUCAGCAAAGCAUUAGGAGAUCCUCUGAGGAGCACUAUAAAUGCUGAAACCAGAUUCAGAAUGAAGGUCUACCUGCUCUCAGAGACAGUCUUGCAGCUGCUUUGUCCAGCCACGAGCAAGCUGCACCCUGGAAGCCACAGAGAUGAGAGAUGGGGCCGCUCACACCAGUGGAGCAGGAGGGGAAGAAAAUGCUUCUGUGGGUGAAGCUCGGCCCAGUCCUGUUGGCAUCAAGCGGACGUGUUUGUUAUAGCUGGCAGAGAGGUCCCAGCUUCAGACAGCCGUCUGCCAUCCGCUUUGGCCAGACACCGAGACGCUAGCAAUUGGCUGGCGUUACUGUCAUGAGCAAAGGUAUGGCACUGUGAGUUGUCUGAGCCUUGUCAGGCUUUUCCCGCAGUGAUUCUGCAUGGUGUGAAAGAGGUUGGGAAUCGGAGAAUGGCUCUCUGGCUGAUCGGCCUGCUGCCAGAGGAGGAUUUGUCCAUGAUAGUCUCACUUGCUUUCGGGGUGUGGCCUGAAAGGGAAGGUUUGAGACAAUAUUUGUUGGGGUUUUUCCACUCUUUGUUGUGAAACCUUUGGUUUUCUCAUGCCUUGAUUUUUGGAGUAUGUGCCUUAAAAAACAAUAUGACAAAUGCCUAGCUCCAGGUAACGCUUUGCACCUAGAAAGAAUGCUGGGUUUUCUGGACUCAAAUGAUGGGGAGGCUGUGAUGCCGUUUGCCCAAUGUCAGGCAGCAGUCUGAAAGCAGGGCUCGGAGCAGAAGCUGACUGUCAAAUCCCUGCCCCUUCCAUGGGCUCCACCAUCCCUUCCAUCAUUUUCUAGUUUUGUUUCUCCUUGCUUUCCUCAAGAAAAAUGAAAGGAGAAAAUUAAAUAGAGAUUACGAGCUCCAGCAUCUGUGUUAGGGGAAUCUGUAGCCAAAUGAAAGGUGACCACACUAGGUCCAGUACUGGCUGUUGAUUCUUAAGGACCUCUUACUGCAGAGUGAACUGCUUCAGAAAUCAGCCUGAGGGCUGAUAACCCACAGCUCGGAGUGAGAACAAGGGUCACCACUCUUGAUCUGAGAUUUAAUCAGUUGGGUUUCAGUUAUCAAAAAACAAAGCUCAUAAAAGAAGCCUGACGUUUUUAUAUCUUGCACUACUCCAGUGAAAGCUGCGCUCAAGAUCAGGGAAGACAGAAAUUAUACAUGGGAAUGAGAUCUCAGUGAUACCCUUUUUGAAGCCUCUGGAUGAUCAUAUAACGCACAAACCAAAGCCCUGAGUGGUUUAUUUUGAUGUGUGGAUCCAUGCCGUUACCAGUGAAAUGAAGUCCGUGCAUCCUGCCCGGCGGCAUGUUUGUGCAAUCGGUGUGAAGGGGCUGAUCUAGCAAGCCUUGCAUGAGAAUUUUUCUUUCCCAUACGUGCUCUCAGGAGGUGUUAAUGCUGUGCUGAGGAGCUCUGCUCAUGGACUAGGACUAUGGUGUGAAAUGUGAUACUGUCACGUCGUGGAGAAAAUGCUGUCACCCCCAUCGUCAGGAUGGAUAUGUCUGCUAUAGGCAAACUCAUGAUUGUUAGGGCUUCCAGACAGCUAGCGGGGGGCAGCAGCAGCUCCCUGGGACGCCUCAGCCCCAGCAGCCUGGCCCAGCACACAAUGAGCCUCAUGCUCGUGACAAUAUCUGAACUUUUCUAAGUUAAAGCCAGCAGAAGUGGCUUUCCAUUCAGACCUUCAGUUUCCAUGUUGACGUGCCAUUAUGCCAUGAGGCAGCCCAGGAAGAAUACUUGGGCGUGCUAGGCAGUGGGGUGUAGUUCAUGUGGCUCAUGCACUGUUACUGCAGUGGAGAUGUCACGAGUCAGUGUCUGCAGCUACCAAGGGCCAAACUGAAAGCUCCUCAUUAGUCAGAAGCAAAACGGGGUGAAAUGGGCUUUGCCCACGUUAAUAAACUUUGUGUUUUAAACCACCACUUCCCGUCCAGUCAGCAAAACCCAACCCCUGCUGUUAGAAAUUACUGCUCUGAUUCUGGGUGGGUUCACAGUCCUGCUCCCUCUCACAGGCCGGGCUGGCACCUUUCACCUCUGGAGAAGGUUUGGACAACAGGCAUCCAGCUGAAACCCCAUGUCCCAGCUAGAAGCAAAACACGCCUUUAAAUCAGCUAUGGGGCACAUUUCCCAAAUGCUCUGCUAUCUCCGGUCCCCUCUACUUUGUCUGUGAAACUAUUACUUUGCAUAAUAGAAGGGAGAGACGCUCUGACCAUCUGGUAGGCAACGCCAUGUAUAAUUUAGGUUGCUUCACUCACUCUCCCAUCAACAACAGGAAAGUAGAUUCCUUCUGGUUUCCCUUGAUCUCUUAGCCCUUUGCUACAAAUGCAAGGUCCCAAGCAGCUGCGGGGGAGUAAACUGCAUCCUGCACUGGGCCACGGCGUUUUGAGGGAUGCCUCUGCUUGUGGGUGGGACCCCAUCACAGCCAGGUUGUUUCCUGAUUCUGCGUGAGCAAAGGGAUCAUGAACUCAGUAAAUCCCCGCCAGGAAAGGACAGCUGGUAUCAAUGGAUCUGCAAAUUCCCCUUUCCCCUCCCAGGGGUUCUCCAGGAUGGGGAUAGCAUCUUCAGGGCUCUGGGGAAACACUGCCAUCCCCAAGGAGCCCCUCACCGCAGGGACCGAGCCACCUGCUUGUCCCAUUGGCGGUCUUCUCAGGCAGAGCAGCUGCCAGGAAACCUGCAGCAGGGAAACCACCAUUCGCUGCUAUUCCUCUAUGUCAAUUAUUUGGGCCUAUCCGGGCCUGCGCACUUGUUUUUCCACUCCUGGUGAGCACGGUGAGGUGGUUAAGGCCCUGAUGCUGAAGUUUAUGGCUUAAAUCAGUGGGAUUAUUCAUGAGGUCAGAGAUAACCGUGUGCUUUUAUACCUGGCUAGAACGGCGUCUCAAGCUGACGGCUGGGAGUCAAAAGCUCUGAGUCAUCGGGUCCCUCCUCGCCUUCCUGUGUGACCAGUCUGCCCGUGUCUGCUUCCUUGCCUGCCGCAGAAGGAGGAUGGCAGUCGCUUUUAUCUGAUGGUUACUUUCAAAUGGCCCUAGAGGCCUCUUCUGGUCUGAUGAAAAUUCAGUAGAAGCUGGACUAGCGUGGAAAAGACAGCAGGACAUUUAACUAAUGAACGCGCUGGAGCUCAGGAAAGCAAUUACAUCUUUUCUUCCUCCUCCCCACAUUCCCACACGGGUUACUCAGAGAUUGCUGCAGAAUUUUCUCUGAGCAAAGAGAAGUGGAAGGCCAUGAAAAAGCUGAGAUGGGUCCCUCGGAGCUGAAGGAAACCUCAUGUGGGAUGGUGGUUUGGGUGCCCCGUACGGCAGAUUGCUACGCUAGCAGAUUCCCAGCAGUAGUUACACCUUAAAAGAGGCCCCGCUCAAUUAAAACCCGUGACCUUGAUUCUGCAAACCUCUUCUUUACAUACAUAGCUCGUAAAACAAAAAGAUGCAGAAAAACAAGAGAGGGAGAAAGAGGCAAAAAAGAGGGCCACUCGCAUAUAUUUUAUGUCCCACUACACAACAGUUCCCCAGGGAAGUGUGCGAGAGGACUUCUGCAUUUGGCUUGCACACCUCUGCUUGGGUAGUGCGAAAACCUGCGUGCAGUGCUGUGUACAGCUGCCGUAGCCAUAAUAUGCAGGGCUGAAACCCUGGAGAGGAGCUGUGGGCGUCCUCCCAGCUGCCCCAUGCUUUUGCAGACAUUUGUAAAUACAAUUGCUCUCACUUUCCAUUGAUAGAAAUCAAAAGGCAAUUAAGAAUCAAGCUCUUUAAAUUGAUAAGUCUCUUGAAUUUGAAACAUUUUUCAUUCUUUGGCUGGUAUCGCUGCCUAGAUUAGAUUAUUUUUUUAAAGGCAAGAUUAAAAUAAACAGUAUUUGUGGUUUAAUUAUUUGAAUGACUAAGAAGCUCCAGCUUUAUUUUAACUUCACAGAGGACUGGGAGAUGUUUUUAAUGAUAUGUUUGACUCGCAUAGAAUCUUUCAUCCAGGGAUCUCAAACUGCUUUUCAAAUAAUUAAUUAAUCCUUGUACCUUUCCAUGAGACAGUUUUAUCUCUGACAUUACUGAUGGGUAAACAAAGGCACAAAGACGUCAAGGCACAAACUGCUUUCCAAAUAUUAAUUAAUUAAUCCUCACACCACUCUGUGAGACUGUUACUGUCUUUGGUGUUACCAAUGGGUAAACUAAGGCACAAAUAUGCAAGCAACUCGCCUGAGGCCGUGCAGGUGAGUCAGUAGCAGAGCUGAGAAUAGCAUAUGACCGGUCGAAGCCUUGGCUAAUUGUUUCUAGCAAGUGCUACGCCGUGCUUCUGACAACAGACCCUGCAAGCCCCUGCGUGAAGCACAGCUGAAACCAACUGCGUUUCUGAAAAUAUCCCUCCUUUCUGUCUCCUCCCACUGGAGGCUGCCUUUGCCCACGGUUGCCUGCAGCUCCUUUUCAGCUCGUAAUGACCAGUGGAAGCCCACGUUGCUGUGAUGACAAGCGGUUGUUGGGAAGUACCUGGGGAGUUUUGAGCUCCUCCAGUGAUGGGGGCUGUGCAAACGCUUUGCCCUGUGGCUGGGGGCCCCAGGAGAGCAGCACGCAGGUUUGCUGGUGUUUGCCCCUGUACCGGCCCCGUGUGGCACCCUGGGGCCAGGGAUGCCCCAGGCUCGGCCACGGCCCCUCAGCAGCCAAGAACACCUUGCGUCCUGGCACGGGCUGUCAGCUCGGGCUUCAGCAGGUAUUUAGCCCACGGAGCAAGAGCUCUGUGUCCUCUCCAUGAGGAAGAGGAAAAGCACUCUCUGCCCUCAGGAAAGGGCUCUCCUUCCCAUCCAGCCGCAGCAAUUUUCCAUGCAGGCACCUGAACCCUCACCAUGCUCGCAUCCCAGCUGAGCUAUUUCAAACAUGGGCUUGGCCUCAUCAAAUGCCGUCUCAUUUCCACAUGAAAGCGCUGGAGGAAUACGAAGCCAGCUCAUCUGUAUUGAUAAGAAUUUGGCAUUACUUUCCCCCAGUUAUCUAAGCUUUCUGUGUACAUUAAUCACAAUGCACAAACCAGGAGCUGGGGGGAUGCAUCUUCCCAGCUGGCUUUCCCUGGGCUCGGGCAGUAAUCCGCCUCUGUUUCUUUUUGCGUGUGUUUUUGUUGUUGUUGUUUUUUUCUAAACUUCCUUUUUCCAGUUCCACUCCGCUGGAGCCUGAUUGCUCCCUCCCCUCUGCAAUUUGGAUGCCUCAUUCUUCUUGCUCCAGCUCUGAUGCAAGCGCUGCGCUGCCGUGCUUGCCAAACCUGGCAUGAGUACCCACUGCUAGUCUAGACACCAGUCUAACUGUAGCGCUAAUGCUAGGGUUUAACAGACUGAUCUCGGCAUUUGUCAUAGCUCUGCCCACGGUCAUCGCUUUGAUCUUUAUCCUUGAAAACCACAGCCAUUGACAAAGGUAAAAUGAAUUUCUGUCUUUGAAAGACUUUGAUGGCAUUCCCGUGUUUUGUUUCUUUUUUUUUUUUUCUUUUUUUUUCUUCUCUUAUUUGCUCUUCCAGCUGAACUUCAUCAUAACACUUUUGAUUACAGCUGCAACUCCAGGACUGGCUACAGUUGUUCUUUCUUUCUUUCUUUCUGCUGUACAGCCAUUUAAAAAUCUAAGGGGGAAAUCCUGGGACACUUCUGAGACAAACUGCCAGUGAGUGUAAUGUAAACUUUAAUGGGAGUCAGCGACUGAGGGCCCUCAGGAUUUGUCAUCUUGAAUAGGGCCAAGUGCCAAAAGCAGGAGAGAAGGAGAACUAUUUGAUAUUAGAUUUCUAGUUCGAAAUCUGCACUCUGCCAAGUACUAUUAUUUGCCUCCAUGUAGUACCUAGAGGUUGAGCUGAGACAAGGGCCUUCUAUUAGACGUUGUAUAGACACGUUGUAAGAGAUUGCCUCUGCCUGGAGGUGUUUAUAAUUUAAAUAAACAUGAUGAGCAAAUCGAGUGUUACUAGCUCCAUCUUCUAGAUGGGGAAGUGAAGGAAAGGAGCGUACAUACCUCGUCCAAGGUCACACAGGGGACCUGAAUUCAUUGGAGAGCUCCAGGUAUGACAGCUGGUGAUAAUGUCCCCUUUGCCAAUGAGCCCUUUGGCUCCAGAAGCAAUGGCUGGGCUCUCACCAUGCAGCUAGAGGUGCCUCUCGUUCGUAAGGAUUUAUGACACUUUUCCCUGCUUGGAGUUGCAGGAUUUGGCUCACUGCGGGGGAAUGCUACACAAACUUCCCAGCAGCUCAGCCACCACUAGAGAAAAAGCUGCUUCUGAGCCAAUUUUUUAUUUUUUUUUGUAAUGCUGUAAAAGCCAAUUGUGAGAUGCCUCAUCCCUUUGAAUUUACUGUAGGAAACAAGCUACGUGAGGAACCUUCAGCAAGGUACUUCCACCAACCUUCAUGUAGGAGCAGUGAUGAACUUCAGUGAAGCCAGACGAGGUGGUCCUUCCAUGGGGCCUGAGAUAAGAGCAGGAGUUCACAGAGCUUGGGUUUAAUAUCAUGCACAAUGUAAAAGUAAAUAAAUUCAAUAGGGAAGGCUUUGAUUACAGGAUAUACACAGCGCGUUAUUUGCACAUCUGUAAAAAUCUUCCAAGGGCUGUGAGUGAAAUCCAGGUUUGUUGAAGUCAAUGGGAUUUUUGCCACAGACAGCUGUGGGGCCAAGUUCCCCCUAAACACUUGCACAUCCUUUCCCUGUUUUCUAGCACACAGGUGAUGCCAAUGGGACUCAGCAGCUGCUGGAGAGGAGGGCAGUGAAUUAUAGCAGCACGGGGAGGAGAACUCCAGAGGAGUGAGUGAUGCUAGCAACUAUGAAAGUCCUGACAGUGGUAUCACACAGCCCAUCCAGAACAGCCUUCAGGGUAGCCAGUCCAUAGCUAGGAGAAGUUGUUUAUCAAAAAUGGGUUUUGUUCAACACACAGAUAAAUCUGCCUUCAAAACUGGAGCUGGAAGUUUUCCUGUUCUCAUAUACAUGUAUAAAUAUCACAUAAACACAUACACAUAGCUGGCAAAUAAAAAUGUUGUAUGUAGGUAUAGUGUGUACGUUUUAGAUAGCAAAAUGCAUAUAUUUUAUGCAUAUAGUCAUGUAGCUAUAUAUUCCCAACAUCCAUAAAAACGUAUUUUCCUGUUUUUUCCAGCCACUUCACCAACUGAUUCACAGAUGCCAAAUGUUGACACAAUAUGUUAAAGAGCAAUGUUGACAGUUUUCCAUGGACAGUUUUCUGUAGUCUCGGAGAAGCUCUACUCUACAUUUCUUCUGAGAUUCAAAGGAAUUUGAUUAACAUUUUGCUGUUGCCCAUUUCUGACUAUCCUGAUUUCAGCUGGGACUGGAGGAGCACUUGAUGAGUAUGUCUCUUUUGUUAUUUACAGCCUUGUCAAAACGAUGAAGUAGCAGGAAUCUCCUCAGAGAGCAAUGUAUCACAGCAUUUUUCAAGAUGAUUUCCAAAUCAAAGAUGACUUCCAAGGAGCAGCAAGGGUGUAAUCCUGGAGCCAAUCAAGCCAAUGGCAAAAAUCCCACUUUUUGCAUGAUAUUCUUAAUGAAGCCUCUGAAAUUUUGGAGUUUCAUAUAUUAUGGCUAAAAGAUCCUGUCCAAACUCAGCAUCUGUGAGCCUUACAGAGGCAUGACCCCAAAAAGAAGUGAUGAAAAAUGUCCAUUUUAAAAACAAAUAUCCCUGUUUAUAAUGAGACCAGGGGGAAAAUGGAGAAUUCAGUACUUAAUACUGACACCUGCCACUUGCAAAAUCUCUGCACUGCUAGAAACAAAUAUUAGUGAGAGUUUGGAAACUUUCAGUCACUCAUUUUUUCCUCCUUCACUUCCAUUUUGGUAUGCCUUCACUUCCAUCUGGUACGCCUGCCCAAUAACAUCAUGGACAUUGCUGAAAUGUCAUGAUGAACUUUGUUCGUGUACUAGUUCCAGGUGAGAUGGCCUUGGGAGUAGCUAUAAUUCUUAACAAAACAAAAGAAGUAUUUGCCAAUGUUUCUGGAUAUAGUUGUUAUUUCCCAGGCACAGAGACUCGUCAGAGCACCCAUAAAUAUCACUGUCAUUGAAAUCUGAUUUCCAAGUUCUUUCCUGCAAAUGCCCACCGGCUGUGAAAACCCAGCCGAGUUUUGGCUGCUGGGUUAUAAACUCCUUCUGGGCUGUGCUUGGUGUCUGGCACAGCAGCCAGGGGUCUCUGCCAGUGCAAUGGGGUGCUACAAGCGUCAUAAAUGGCCAGGUUGAUUUUUGCUCUUCCUUGAGCAACUGAAAGAAACUGGGCUAGAUAGAGUCCUGGUCCCAACAAAUACAGAAGUUCUGACAUUGUCAUAUAAGGAAAAUCCAGUUUCUUAGAGAAAACCUCAGACAAAAUAGCCAUCCCAAGAUAUUUGUUGAUUUAUGCUAUAUAGAUGCAAACAAAACCAAUGUACCUUACAAUAAAUGGGUUACUGAGCGUUACCAGAACAUUUCCAUAUCUGAUUUCUAGCUGGUAGGCUUGGUGUUUUUUUUCUGUUGGUGCACAUCGGUGAAUGAGAACUUAUUUUCCAAUUGAAUGAAAAAUUUUGCCUCCAACAAUAUUCAGAAACCAUUGAAAGGUUUAGAGCUCUCAAUAGGAAAAAGCUAAGAACAGCAGUUCAAUUAUUUUCUGAGAGAUUUCUUCAGUAUUGCACUCCCCCAUCACCUCAAAGCUACAGAGAAGUAACAUAUUAACCGAAAUAACAAAAUUAAUCCAUGUCAUCAGCAGUUUUCAUGGGGGAGAGGAGUAGUCCCUGGUUAUUUUCCCCGUUUACUACUUACACUUAAAUCUGGUUUUAAUCCAGCUCUGACCUCCGUCAGUGGCUGCUCUGCAGCAUCCCGAAGCCACACGGGGCUGGACUCGGAGCUGAACUCAGACUCCAAGCAGGCCAUUGCAACUCAACGCCGUGUAUUAAUGACAGUAAUAGCAAUAUCCUUAGAGCCUACUGGAACCUACUGAAAGCCAAAAUUAGCUCAGCUGAGCUGGAAAGGCCUCCACCGAUCCUCUUAGCAAGGUAUGUGAACACAGGGAGCAGGACGCGGUGCGGGCAGAUGCCAGCUGGGCUGACACAGGAGAAAGCCCGCAGGGUGUGCAGAAGUGAUCAAGGCUCAGCAUGCUGGGGUAGAGGAAAGAAAGCACGGCUGAAUGGCACCGUUUAUGUCCCGAAGGAGAGCCCAAGUGCCAGCCAGCGCCAGGAGAUAAGGAGAGCCCCACAGAAGGGCACAAAGGUAGCACUGAUGAGCGGUGCUUGGCUCGGCUCCCACAGAGGUCGCAGCUGGAUCCCCUAUUAGCUUUCCUCAACACAGCGUUAUUGAGAUUAUGCUGAGCUACUUGGUGGUAAUGCCCCCCUCCCACAGACCUUUCACGAGAAAACAGAAGUAUUUGAUAUUCCAGGCAUAAGCAAAGACAAUCGAAGGCACUGCUGUCUACUAUAAGCUGGAGAAUUUGGCUACAAGUAUACAGAGUCCAGCAAAGCACGUGGCAGGGUUACUCUGUGAGUAAACUGAUGCACGAGCCUGCAGGAUCUGCCUAAGCAGAAGCAGGACUGAAACCUGGGUCUGUGGUGGUGUGUCCUGGGCUCUGCUGUGAGAGCCUCCACUGGAAAUAGUGGAUAGCUCCACUGGUAUAAAUGUGUCCACUCUGAAACUUAAAACAUUGCCUAUAUUACGACAAGGGGAAAUUCUUAGUUAUUACCAUUUCUCAUCAUCCUCGUGGAGCUGAAGUCCCACACAGCAGCCUGGUUCAUCACACAAGGAAGCCUCUAGCGUGGCAUUGUUGUCCUUCUUGUUCAGCUCUGUUUAUUUUCCAGUUCCCAUCCAAUCGGCUCCAAUGAAUCAAGGUGGGAGGAGGUAAAGCAAUUGGAAUGGUCAAUUUUUAAGGCUGCGCUGAGCAUAAGGGGAAUAAGUGGAGACGUGCCCCAGACAGGACGAGCAGAGCUGGGACCUGAGCAGCAUCACAGCAAGCAGCCAUGUGAGCCAGUAUCCUGUCUGCUGGUGUAGCCAGGAGGAGAUGCGGAAGGAGGAAACUCAAGGAGGAGGUACGGCGUGAUCCUUCCCCAGCUGUACCCUUCUUGCUUCAGGCAAUCCGUGGUUUAUGGACUUCCCAAAGCAGAGGCUGCCUCCAGACCAGUGUGUUUUAAUAGCCACCCAUGGACCUAUCCUCCUCAAAUUUUUUUGAUCCCUUUCUCAAGCCAUUUAUAACUUUUGGCCUCCGCAACAUCCUGUGGCAACGAGUUCCACAAUUUAAUUAUGCUUUGCAUGAAAAAGUACUUCCUCGUGUUGGUUUAAACCUUCUUGCGUGAAUGCUGUGUCAGGUCCCCUUACGAGAAGCAGUGGACAACCAUUUCCUAUUUGCCUUUCUCUAUAUGUCAUUCACGAUCUGACAGAUCUUCACUGUACUGCCUGCUUCUAUCACUCCUUUCCACCCUGAAGACUCCUCAUCUAGUUAGUUUCUUGUCUUUAUGGAAGCUGUUUCCUACCUCUCCUCAUCCAGAAUGCUUUCAUUUCUGUGUUUUCUAGUUCAGUUCAACCCUUCUGGACUUAGAUGACCAGAAAACACACUACCAUUGCCGUACAGUUUCACUGAGGACUGCUAUGAUGACGUUUUCUGUUUUGUUCCUUCCUGGUUCUUUGCCAGUUAAUUCUUAACAUGAUGGUUGCCUCUCCUGAUGGACUUUACCUGAUGUUUACACAGGACUCCAAGCUCUCUUUGCUAAAUGUUGAACUGAGGUCUCAUCCACGUUGAAGUGCAGUUGGGUUUUAUGCUUCUUUGUACUUCUUGGUUUGAGACGGAACCAGAAGUCCAAACAACAAAGUGUUUGCAAAAGUCCUGAUGGUCGGGAGAUCACUGAACUCCUUCAGACCAAGAGAGAUGAAAAGCUUACAAGAAAAGUUGCUCUCCAGAGGCUUUCAGCCCAGUGACGAGGAACCGAGGCAGGCUGAAUACACUCAGGGCGAUGAAUGGAGGGAGGAAACAUUCAGGUACCUUUCAAAUACGCAACCAAACAAUCUGAGGUUUCCCUGUCACAUGCCUAGACGCAUGUUUCGAAAGGGUAUAAAAUAAAAGAAAGAAAAAUGCGCUGUCUGGGAAUUCUUACCCUGUGACUGUUGCGCAGCCAAAAAGCUGGGUAAUUCUCUUCAACUGAAUAAACAUCGGGGGGAGUCUGAGAGCAAUUUGGCUCCAGAGCAAAUAUUGUUACCAAAUUCUUUGCACCUGCAGUGGUCAGGGAGAUGAUAAUACACCCUCUCCAUGUCUUCCUAUCCCACGCUUUGGAGCACAGCCACGCAGUGUCUCACGUCUGCUGCAGCGUACAUGUUUGUGAGGGAAGGACUUCAGGCAAGCCCCUGCUGGUGGGGCUGCAGUACGAUCCACAGCCCAGCCCCUAACACCCACUCUCGUCUCGGUCCCCAGCAAACCCAACACCCCGACACGACUCGAGAGCAGCAAGGCAGCUGCACUGCCCCUGCUGCGGCCGAUUCUCAGCCGGUGCUGUGCCGGCUUUGCACCACGCUGCCCAGCUGGGGUUUGCCACGGCGUUACUUGCUAAGCAGGGUUAAAGAUAAUAAUGAAGAGGUUAAGGGCUUUGGCUGCCAUAGCUUCUGCUACCAUUCUACCAGCCUAGGCACAGAUACCAAGGAAAAACACACACUUACCUGGUGCAGUAUGGCUUGCCGGAGGCUAGGUUGUGUUACAGCGGUGUGUGUCCUUGGUGCCCUGCCUGACACAGCAAGAUGCAUGCCACUAGUGAGGGAGCACCCCCAGCGCCGCUGUGACCUCAGCCUGCACCUAGCAGAGGCACACUGGGGAUGGGGUGGGCAGCGCUGGCACCGCCAAGUCCAUAGCAGCAGGAGAAGCCAGGAAAUAGGGAAAAAGGCUCCAUUCUGCUGGGCCAGCAAGGCUGGGGACACAAGAAGGUGAACUGACACCCCUUCCACUGCACAGGGAGACCAGGAAGGCAUCUGGACCUCUACAAGGGGUGCCAUUUGAUUUUCUGGACUGUUUCUUAGGAAACAGAGGUGCCACAGGACCUCAGUGCCUUGUCUAUAAAAUGGAGAGCAUUCCUGUGCCCAUCUUGUCACACUGGUGUGUGGCUUAGUGUAUCCAUCCACCGAGGAGCAGCUGAGGGAUUGAGCCACCAAAUGCCACCAAGGCAGAGAAACACUCACACCAUCAUCGUGUGGGCUUUGCACAGCUGGGCUGAAGGUGAAAUGAAGGAAUUUGGUGUCAGACUCUCUACUCCAGUCACCAAUAGCGUCCUUCAGCAGGGAUUUGAGGACAAAGCAAAUGGAAAGGAUAAAGAAGAAAUGAGAUGGAGUUUCUCCUGUUCCUACCUUAGACACACUGCGGGAUAAUGGCUUACAGAGCAAGGGAUCAGCUUUGUGUGAGUGCGUGAGCUGGAGUCCAUCAGCACCGUGGCUGCUCAGGUGCUCAGCUUUCCUGAUGUAGAUCUGCCUGACAAAUGACAACAACAACAAAGGCCCCAAAACAAGCUGAUGAUCUGGAGAAUUUCCUCCUCGCAUCCAGGGAAGUUCAGAGAAGAAAAUCUCUCGGCUAGGAUGUGCACCUGAUAAUACCUUCUCACAAGCGUUCCCACCCACAAAACAAAUAGCAAAACCCGUUGGCUUUGGGGUGUAAACCAAAUUAGAAACAGGGCUGGGAAACCUACCAAAUACCCACAAGGAGUUUGGCUAAAGGACUCCGAUGCUCCUGAAUAUUUGACUUGUUGUUCUCCCACUAAAAUCACGGCGAGUCCAAAGCCUAAGGAGUCACUUGCUUUUAAAAUGCUAUGUCAGGCCUUCAAGCCUGUUUGGAAGUUUGCGAAAAUUUUGUCCCGAUGCUAUUAAAAAAAAAAAAUAAAUCCUCAAACACAACCACUUUGAAUGCCAGAGGUCCCUAAUGUCCCAGCUCUCCUAUUCAUCCCAGCUGCCCCAUUACCACAGCCCUUUACGAGCGAGUCCGUGUAAGACCAGUCACGGCCAGCAGCUGGGAGAACAAUCACUAAGGAAAAAAAAAUAUCCUGGACCGAAGAGGUUAGAAAAUAUUUUUGGUGGCUGAUCAUGAUCCUGGAGGUCACUGCUGCUUUGGUUAGGGCCUAGCAUUGCCGAGCAGGCUGUGUGCAGAAGUCUCUUGGAGCUCCCUUGAGUUCAUGGAAGAUCCCAGAGGAGGUUUUAUAUGAUUAUGAGUGUUUCCAAUAUUCACUCUGGACUAUUAGAUUUUUAUUUCGUUUCUAUUGUUAAUUACAUUUUUGACUACCCUUUAGCUGUACUGGGAGACAUUUUUUUUGCAAGAUCAUUAAAUAAACCAGUAAAAAUAAAGUGCUUUGCUGCUAAGUGAAAUGACUCUGUUAAGCUUUCAUCUCUUUUCUCCUCUCUAAAGACUUUGGGCUUUUUUCAAUAAUUUACUUCCUUUUUUUCCAGCAAGAAAAAAGAGAAGAAUGGAGGGGGAAAGAAGCAGAUGAGAGUCACUGUCUAACCUUUUUUUUUUUUUUGACAGAAAGCAGGUACCUCUGUACAGAUAGGUCAUUAGCAUCUCAGAAAAUUGUCCAGCUGGUUUGUUGUUUGUUGUGAGGAGCUGCGGCCAGUGCUGCUUUACAGGUGGCAGCUGCUGGAAAAGCAUCUCUCCCCGGGCCCAGUCGUUCCCUGGUGUCAUAGGGGGGGAUCUUGGAAGCCAGGCUCUGUGCCCACCUCUGGUUUUGUCCCA
Non-coding RNA from Anas platyrhynchos (mallard), 15190 nucleotides. Lineage: Eukaryota; Metazoa; Chordata; Aves; Anseriformes; Anatidae. The record is from RefSeq and is a predicted model, not a curated record.